GGGUGGCUUUUGGGGCUCGAGCCCCGAAUGUUUUGUCAAAAGCCCCGAAUCUUUUCAGAUCUGUAAAAUGAAUUCAUCCAGGACGCUAGGUGGCGGCACUCAGCUUUAACUCUCCGGUCCCCCACUCAACUGAAAAUGAAUAAGAGAAGCGUGUUGAAUGCAAAAUAACAUUCUGAAUCUCCCCACAGUAAACGCAUUUUCAAAGUGUCUUUAUUAUUACAGUGCCUUCGUUAUUACUGUAAGUGUAUAUUUAUAGUUAUGUGAUGUAAAUACUGUUAAAUAGCGUCAACUGAUAUAUUAUCUGCAUGGCUAACGUCUAACUUACUGUGGUGCUCUGGUCUAGUCUGCCUCAUUGGUCAUUGAUGGAUAUACGAUUUAUAUUUUUAAAGACGUCAGAAGUAAGAAGUGCAAAUAGGAAGAGAGGAGGGUGGAGAGAGAUCACAGACAGACAGAUAGACAGAAAGAGAGAGAAACGCUUCCAUAAGCAGGUGAGAAAUUGUUCUGUCAAUGAAGUCAAAAAUUGUUAUUCUUAUGUAGCUUAAUAGUUACUGGAUUAGCCUUCAGCAAACAUGUUUGCCUAUUUUUGGAUAAGAGAAGUUAAAGUAUCAUUGUCAAAA
This is a non-coding RNA of Misgurnus anguillicaudatus (oriental weatherfish), 617 nucleotides long. The record is from RefSeq and is a predicted model, not a curated record. NCBI's taxonomy places the organism in Eukaryota, Metazoa, Chordata, Actinopteri, Cypriniformes, Cobitidae.